NNNNNNNNNNNNNNNNNCUGAGCUCCUGCAUCCCCAGAGCCCUUCCUGCAUCCCCCAGAGCCCGUCCUGCAUCCCCAGAGCCCUUCCUGCAGCCCCAGAGCCCUUCUUGAGCUCCUGCAUCCCCCAGAGCCCUUCCUGCAGCCCCAGAGCCCGUCCUGCAGCCCCCAGAGCCCGUCCUGAGCUCCUGCAUCUCCCAGAACCUUUCAUGCUCCCCUGGCAGCCCCCAGCAACCCCUGGGGAAGAGCCUUUCCCUAAAAUCCAUCCCAAUCCCCCGACGCAGCUCCAGAAUUCCCUGUCCUGAGCAGUUCCUGCCCCUCCACCGUCCCCCAGGAGGAAAUUCCCCUUUUUCUGGGAAGGGAAUCCCUUCCACUGCCCCAGGCUGGCCUUGGACACUUCCAGGGCUCCAGGGGCAGCCCCAGCUCCUCUGGGAACCCCUCCCCACCGGGAAUUCCUUCCCAAUGUCCCAUCCAAAGCCGCUCUCCUUCACCUUGGGGCGGUGAGCUGGAGGAAAGGGAGGAGAACCCAGAGCCGGGCAUUCCACACCCCGUUAAUCCCGUUCCAGAGCCCUAAUCCCUGGAUAAACGCAGGGCCAGUGCCCUCUCCCAGCCACCAGCCACCUCCAUCCUCCCCUGGAGAUCUGAGAACCCCAGCUCGCCCCUCCUGGCUCCAGAGGAGCUUCCCUGGGGAUUCCUCCAGCAUCUCCUCACCGCUCACCCAUGCUGCCUGCACGGUUUGGCCUCUGGAACACACCAAAAAAACCAAACAAACCCCCAAAAAAAAACACCAAACCACAAUAAAAGCAGGAAAAUCCACCCAGCCCCGCAUUCCUGGGCUUUUCCAGCGUCAAGGCACUCAGCAGCAGCUCCAGUGCCAGGCACAGACACCUCCAGGCCUGGGAGGAACUGGGGGAUUUCCCUUUCUUUUCCCUUUCUUUUCCCAUCCUUUUCCCAUUCUCGGGUCACCCCCCUCAUCAGCAGGGCUUGGAAAACCCCAAAACUCCCACA
Molecule: long non-coding RNA, 1004 nt
Filed under: Cyanistes caeruleus (blue tit)
Lineage: Eukaryota; Metazoa; Chordata; Aves; Passeriformes; Paridae
Description: lncRNA (ENSCCEG00000017815.1)
Source: RNAcentral